Molecule: ribosomal RNA, 447 nt
Filed under: uncultured bacterium
Lineage: Bacteria
Description: bacterial SSU rRNA
Rfam family: Bacterial small subunit ribosomal RNA
Source: RNAcentral
ACUCCUACGGGAGGCAGCAGUGGGGAAUAUUGGACAAUGGGCGCAAGCCUGAUCCAGCAAUGCCGCGUGAGUGAUGAAGGCCUUAGGGUUGUAAAGCUCUUUUACCAGGGAUGAUAAUGACAGUACCUGGAGAAUAAGCUCCGGCUAACUCCGUGCCAGCAGCCGCGGUAAUACGGAGGGAGCUAGCGUUGUUCGGAAUUACUGGGCGUAAAGCGCGCGUAGGCGGUUACUCAAGUCAGAGGUGAAAGCCCGGGGCUCAACCCCGGAACUGCCUUUGAAACUAGGUGACUAGAAUCUUGGAGAGGUCAGUGGAAUUCCGAGUGUAGAGGUGAAAUUCGUAGAUAUUCGGAAGAACACCAGUGGCGAAGGCGACUGACUGGACAAGUAUUGACGCUGAGGUGCGAAAGCGUGGGAGCAAACAGGAUUAGAUACCCUGGUAGCGACUGA